Molecule: ribosomal RNA, 217 nt
Filed under: Lutjanus jocu (dog snapper)
Lineage: Eukaryota; Metazoa; Chordata; Actinopteri; Lutjaniformes; Lutjanidae
Description: partial small subunit ribosomal RNA
Rfam family: Bacterial small subunit ribosomal RNA
Source: RNAcentral
GUCGGUAAAACUCGUGCCAGCCACCGCGGUUAUACGAGAGACCCAAGUUGAUAGACACCGGCGUAAAGAGUGGUUAAGAUUUACCCAAAACUAAAGCCGAACGCCCUCAGAGCUGUUAUACGCACCCGAGGGUUAGAAGCCCAACCACGAAAGUGGCUUUAAACAAUCUGAACCCACGAAAGCUAUGACACAAACUGGGAUUAGAUACCCCACUAUG